Molecule: ribosomal RNA, 810 nt
Filed under: uncultured bacterium
Lineage: Bacteria
Description: bacterial SSU rRNA
Rfam family: Bacterial small subunit ribosomal RNA
Source: RNAcentral
AGAGUUUGAUCCUGGCUCAGAACGAACGCUGGCGGCGUGCUUAACACAUGCAAGUCGAACGCGAAAGUGGUCUUCGGACUGCGAGUAGAGUGGCGCACGGGUGAGUAACGCGUAAAUAAUCUACCCUGAUGUCUGGAAUAAUUAGCCGAAAGGCUGACUAAUACGGGAUACAUGUUUGCCUGUUGGGGCAAACAGGAAAGGUGGCCUCUAUUUAUAAGCUAUCGCAUUGGGAUGAGUUUGCGUACCAUUAGCUAGUUGGUGGGGUAAGAGCCCACCAAGGCGACGAUGGUUAGCGGGUCUGAGAGGAUGAUCCGCUACACUGGCACUGGAACACGGGCCAGACUCCUACGGGAGGCAGCAGUGAGGAAUAUUGCGCAAUGGGGGCAACCCUGACGCAGCAACGCCGCGUGAGUGAUGAAGGCUUUCGGGUCGUAAAGCUCUGUCAGUAGGGAAGAAAUGAAAACGGUUAAUACCCGUUUUUCUUGACGGUACCUACAAAGGAAGCACCGGCUAACUCCGUGCCAGCAGCCGCGGUAAUACGGAGGGUGCAAGCGUUGUUCGGAUUUAUUGGGCGUAAAGCGCGUGUAGGCGGUUUCUUAAGUCUGAUGUGAAAGCCCUGGGCUCAACCCAGGAAGUGCAUUGGAUACUGGGAGACUUGAAUACGGGAGAGGGUAGUGGAAUUCCUAGUGUAGGAGUGAAAUCCGUAGAUAUUAGGAGGAACACCGGUGGCGAAGGCGGCUACCUGGACCGAUAUUGACGCUGAGACGCGAAAGCGUGGGGAGCAAACAGGAUUAGAUACCCUGGUAGUCC